UCUACCAGGCACUGGGAGUAACAGGCUCACUUUUGGGAAAGGCACCAAAUUCUCACUCAUCCCGA
Molecule: non-coding RNA, 65 nt
Organism: Mus musculus (house mouse)
Lineage: Eukaryota; Metazoa; Chordata; Mammalia; Rodentia; Muridae
Source: the annotation of a RefSeq genome assembly